AGAGUUUGAUCCUGGCUCAGGAUGAACGCUGGCGGUGUGCCUAAUACAUGCAAGUCGAACGAGGAACCUUAGUACUUGUACCGAGGUUUCCUAGUGGCGAACGGGUGAGUAACGCGUUGGUAACCUGCCCCGAAGAGGGGGAUAACAGCUCGAAAGAGCUGCUAAUACCCCAUGUGGCCUCAAGGGUUAGAUACCUUGAGACUAAAGGGAGUAAUCCGCUUCGGGAGGGGCCUGCGUCCCAUCAGCUAGUUGGUAGGGUAAUGGCCUACCAAGGCUACGACGGGUAGGGGACCUGAGAGGGUGACCCCCCACACUGGAACUGAAACACGGUCCAGACACCUACGGGUGGCAGCAGUAGGGAAUAUUGCCCAAUGGACGAAAGUCUGAGGCAGCAACACCGCGUGUGCGAUGAAGGCCCUCGGGUCGUAAAGCACUUUUGGAGGGGAAGAGGAAGGACGGUACCCUCCGAAUAAGGAUCGGCUAACUACGUGCCAGCAGCCGCGGUAACACGUAGGAUCCAAGCGUUAUCCGGAUUUACUGGGCGUAAAGCGCGUGUAGGUGGUUUGGUAAGUUGGAUGUUAAAUUUCCCGGCUCAACCGGGAGCUGUCGUUCAAAACUGCCAGACUAGAGGACGGUAGAGGGAGGUGGAAUUCCGGGCGUAGUGGUGAAAUGCGUAGAUAUCCGGAGGAACACCAGUGGCGAAGGCGGCCUCCUGGACCGUUUCUGACACUCAGACGCGAAAGCUAGGGUAGCGAACGGGAUUAGACACCCCGGUAGUCCUAGCCGUAAACGAUGUAGACUUGGUGUUGGUGGGGUAAAAGCCAUCAGUGCCGCAGCUAACGCGAUAAGUCUACCGCCUGGGGACUACGGCCGCAAGGCUAAAACUCAAAGGAAUUGACGGGGACCCGCACAAGCAGCGGAGCGUGUGGUUUAAUUCGAUACUACACGAAGAACCUUACCUGGGUUUGACAUAUAAGUGGUAGGGAUCCGAAAGGUGACCGACCCUUCGGGGAGCUUAUACAGGUGCUGCAUGGCUGUCGUCAGCUCGUGUCGUGAGAUGUCCGGUUAAGUCCGGUAACGAGCGCAGCCCUCGCUGUAUGUUACAAGUGUCAUACGGGACUGCCGGUAUAAAGCCGGAGGAAGGUGGGGAUGACGUCAAGUCAGCAUGGCCUUUAUAUCCAGGGCUACACACACGCUACAAUGGUCAGUACAAUAGGUCGCAAAGCCGCGAGGCGGAGCCAAUCCUCAAAACUGGCCUCAGUUCGGAUUGUAGGCUGCAACUCGCCUGCAUGAAGCCGGAGUUGCUAGUAAACGCGCGUCAGCUAUAGUGCGUUGAAUACGUUCCCGGGUCUUGUACACACCGCCCGUCACGUCAUGGAAGCUGGCAACACCUAAAGUCGGUAUCCUAACCCGCAAGGGAGGGAGCUGCCAAAGGUGGGGUUGGUAACUGGGACGAAGUCGUAACAAGGUA
RNAcentral lists this ribosomal RNA (1471 nucleotides) under metagenome. RNAcentral describes it as "bacterial SSU rRNA". It matches the Rfam family "Bacterial small subunit ribosomal RNA". The record is from RNAcentral.